CACCAAUCAAGCCUGGCUUGGUGUUGGGCCCCGGGGGUGACCCGGACCCCAAUGUCCGCCGGCCGGACGACCCGGACCUCAGCGUUAUGGCACUGUAAAGUUCCGCUGAGAGGGAAGGGUUGACCGCGCCGUCAACAACUACCUCUAAAA
Molecule: unclassified non-coding RNA, 150 nt
Filed under: uncultured Capnodiales
Lineage: Eukaryota; Fungi; Ascomycota; Dothideomycetes; Capnodiales
Description: sequence contains ITS2
Source: RNAcentral